Molecule: ribosomal RNA, 1343 nt
Filed under: Escherichia coli
Lineage: Bacteria; Pseudomonadati; Pseudomonadota; Gammaproteobacteria; Enterobacterales; Enterobacteriaceae
Description: partial 23S ribosomal RNA
Rfam family: Bacterial large subunit ribosomal RNA
Source: RNAcentral
AAAAAGAACCUGAAACCGUGUACGUACAAGCAGUGGGAGCACGCUUAGGCGUGUGACUGCGUACCUUUUGUAUAAUGGGUCAGCGACUUAUAUUCUGUAGCAAGGUUAACCGAAUAGGGGAGCCGAAGGGAAACCGAGUCUUAACUGGGCGUUAAGUUGCAGGGUAUAGACCCGAAACCCGGUGAUCUAGCCAUGGGCAGGUUGAAGGUUGGGUAACACUAACUGGAGGACCGAACCGACUAAUGUUGAAAAAUUAGCGGAUGACUUGUGGCUGGGGGUGAAAGGCCAAUCAAACCGGGAGAUAGCUGGUUCUCCCCGAAAGCUAUUUAGGUAGCGCCUCGUGAAUUCAUCUCCGGGGGUAGAGCACUGUUUCGGCAAGGGGGUCAUCCCGACUUACCAACCCGAUGCAAACUGCGAAUACCGGAGAAUGUUAUCACGGGAGACACACGGCGGGUGCUAACGUCCGUCGUGAAGAGGGAAACAACCCAGACCGCCAGCUAAGGUCCCAAAGUCAUGGUUAAGUGGGAAACGAUGUGGGAAGGCCCAGACAGCCAGGAUGUUGGCUUAGAAGCAGCCAUCAUUUAAAGAAAGCGUAAUAGCUCACUGGUCGAGUCGGCCUGCGCGGAAGAUGUAACGGGGCUAAACCAUGCACCGAAGCUGCGGCAGCGACGCUUAUGCGUUGUUGGGUAGGGGAGCGUUCUGUAAGCCUGCGAAGGUGUGCUGUGAGGCAUGCUGGAGGUAUCAGAAGUGCGAAUGCUGACAUAAGUAACGAUAAAGCGGGUGAAAAGCCCGCUCGCCGGAAGACCAAGGGUUCCUGUCCAACGUUAAUCGGGGCAGGGUGAGUCGACCCCUAAGGCGAGGCCGAAAGGCGUAGUCGAUGGGAAACAGGUUAAUAUUCCUGUACUUGGUGUUACUGCGAAGGGGGGACGGAGAAGGCUAUGUUGGCCGGGCGACGGUUGUCCCGGUUUAAGCGUGUAGGCUGGUUUUCCAGGCAAAUCCGGAAAAUCAAGGCUGAGGCGUGAUGACGAGGCACUACGGUGCUGAAGCAACAAAUGCCCUGCUUCCAGGAAAAGCCUCUAAGCAUCAGGUAACAUCAAAUCGUACCCCAAACCGACACAGGUGGUCAGGUAGAGAAUACCAAGGCGCUUGAGAGAACUCGGGUGAAGGAACUAGGCAAAAUGGUGCCGUAACUUCGGGAGAAGGCACGCUGAUAUGUAGGUGAAGUCCCUCGCGGAUGGAGCUGAAAUCAGUCGAAGAUACCAGCUGGCUGCAACUGUUUAUUAAAAACACAGCACUGUGCAAACACGAAAGUGGACGUAUACGGUGUGACGCCUGCCCGGUGC